GUCGAGCGAACAGACGAGGAGCUUGCUCCUCUGACGUUAGCGGCGGACGGGUGAGUAACACGUGGAUAACCUACCUAUAAGACUGGGAUAACUUCGGGAAACCGGAGCUAAUGCCGGAUAAUAUAUUGGACCGCAUGGUUCAAUAGUGAAAGACGGUUUUGCUGUCACUUAUAGAUGGAUCCGCGCCGCAUUAGCUAGUUGGUAAGGUAACGGCUUACCAAGGCAACGAUGCGUAGCCGACCUGAGAGGGUGAUCGGCCACACUGGAACUGAGACACGGUCCAGACUCCUACGGGAGGCAGCAGUAGGGAGUCUUCCGCAAUGGGCGAAAGCCUGACGGAGCAACGCCGCGUGAGUGAUGAAGGUCUUCGGAUCGUAAAACUCUGUUAUUAGGGAAGAACAAAUGUGUAAGUAACUAUGCACGUCUUGACGGUACCUAAUCAGAAAGCCACGGCUAACUACGUGCCAGCAGCCGCGGUAAUACGUAGGUGGCAAGCGUUAUCCGGAAUUAUUGGGCGUAAAGCGCGCGUAGGCGGUUUUUUAAGUCUGAUGUGAAAGCCCACGGCUCAACCGUGGAGGGUCAUUGGAAACUGGAAAACUUGAGUGCAGAAGAGGAAAGUGGAAUUCCAUGUGUAGCGGUGAAAUGCGCAGAGAUAUGGAGGAACACCGGUGGCGAAGGCGACUUUCUGGUCUGUAACUGACGCUGAUGUGCGAAAGCGUGGGGAUCAAACAGGAUUAG
This 738-nucleotide ribosomal RNA is filed under the name uncultured Staphylococcus sp. Its description in RNAcentral is "bacterial SSU rRNA". It matches the Rfam family "Bacterial small subunit ribosomal RNA", at positions 61 to 781 of the family's 1533-position model. Lineage: Bacteria; Bacillati; Bacillota; Bacilli; Caryophanales; Staphylococcaceae. The record is from RNAcentral.